UUAGCAGCCUUGGAGGCCAGAGUCAUCUGUUUAUGCACAAAAUGGUUGCAGAAAUGAACAGUAGCAGUGCAGGCUUCUCCCCACUGCUCUGCUAAUGUACCUCAGAGUAGAAUGAAUGAUUACUAAGAGACAGAGUAAUUAAGUUGCCUGUUCAUUAACUCGUUGGCUUCU
Molecule: small RNA, 171 nt
Filed under: Chelonoidis abingdonii (Abingdon island giant tortoise)
Lineage: Eukaryota; Metazoa; Chordata; Testudines; Testudinidae
Description: TUC338 (ENSCABG00000000789.1)
Source: RNAcentral